ACUGCUGGACAUGCUGAAUAUAAGUAUUUUUUAUGUAAAAGUGAGAGAGGAACUAGAUGUGUGCUUUUUUAAUUUCCAGGGUCUUCAAGGUGCUCCUGGACUGCCAGGCAUACCAGGACCCAGUGGACCAUCUGGAGUCACAGGAAGACCUGGACAUCCUGGUCCAGCAGGGGCAAAAGGCGAAAAGGGUAGUGAAGGCUCUCCUGGGAAACCUGGACCACCUGGGCCUCCGGGUAUGCCUUACAAUGAAAGAAAUGGAAUGAGCAGCUUAUAUAAACUGCAGGUAUUUUUCUUUAAUGUUAAUUGGUUUUUUUCAAUCCACACCUAA
Molecule: long non-coding RNA, 328 nt
Filed under: Manacus vitellinus (golden-collared manakin)
Lineage: Eukaryota; Metazoa; Chordata; Aves; Passeriformes; Pipridae
Description: lncRNA (ENSMVIG00005010012.1)
Source: RNAcentral